RNAcentral lists this long non-coding RNA (1503 nucleotides) under Salmo salar (Atlantic salmon). RNAcentral describes it as "lncRNA (ENSSSAG00000089588.1)". The record is from RNAcentral. Lineage: Eukaryota; Metazoa; Chordata; Actinopteri; Salmoniformes; Salmonidae.
GCGGUAUUAUUUGACAGUCUCUCUGGUCAUGGUUUUUAAUAGUUAUGAAAUCUCAUAUAGGCUAAUAUCAAACUACACUGGAAGCUGUAGGCACGUGGAUUUGAGCUAUCCUAUUGGCCAGUAAGUAGACACUCGAUUUAGCCACAGAUAUCCUGGUCCGCCAGGUAGUUAGUUUGGUUUUUCAGACAAAUAAAAAGGUUCAAAAUGGGAACACUUUGUCUACGCAGGGCUUCUGAAUCAAGUGCACCUACCAUCAACUGCGCGACACGAAUUUUAAAAAAGGAGCGCAAGUCUUUAUCGUUGGCUUUUCUACAAAAAUGUUUGGUGAUCGACUAGGAAUGCUUUCACCGAUUGGUGACCACUGAGCUAUACGUUAGAAUGUAGCAACUGUACUAGGGAGCAUGUAAUGAUAACAAUGACAAUAGUGCUAAUGGAAUAAUAGCUUCAAUUGAAUAGCAUUGUAAUAACAUAGGCCAGUGGUACUCAUUGCGGCUCUCGGUGAUUUUCCUAGUUUCCAUUGACAAUACAUAAAUUAUACAAUUUAAAUUAAAUGUGUUUAAUUAAUGCAGGCCUGAAUCACUUCAUAGGCUAUGUCUGUUGCUCCUUGGACCGCAGAUAGAUGGCAGUAUAGCGCAGCUGUUAAACAGAAAGUUUGCCGAAAUAGAACGCAACUGCUCAGCUGCAUCGACCAACACAUCAGUUUGCUACUAGCUAAUUUUGCAGUCUGGUAGACAUGGAUCGAUUUAUUGUAAAAAAUAAACGUAAAUCUAUUGACAAUGAAAAUUAGGGGGGAAGAGCUGGGGAACAACGUGUCAGCUAUGAACGAGCAACCAUCGGAGAACCAGGAAAAUCAGGAAAAUGGCGGCAGGGAAAUGCGGUUAGCUAACGUGGCUCUGGUGGCUAAGAGAAGAAUAAGGUCGAUUCAAGAAGAAUACAGAAAGUUCCAAGAGAAAUGGACAGACAAGUAUUUUUUUGUACUGCAUAAUGGUACUAGCUCGCAUUGUCUUAUUUGCCAGAAGGCAGUCAAUUGUUUAAAAAAUGCAAGUUUAGAGCGACAUUUCCAGUCACAUCAUGCACACUUUGACAAAACAUCCGCCACCAAGCAACCUCAGAAACAACAAAAUAGCGCAACUCAAAGGACAGCUAAAAGGACAACAACAAAUGACGGACAGAUCUAGCACUGUUGCAGAGAAAAUGACAGAGACAACAUAUGAGAUUGCUUGGGAUACACACGAGAAACAAGAAGGCCUUCACAGAUGUGACCUCAGCUGAAAUGUUGUAUGCUGAUUUCACAAACAAGGAAUCUAUUAAAUCUAUUAAAGCAAAUUAAGGGACUGCAACUCUCAGACUCGACCAUAACAAGACGCAUAGAAGACAACACAUCAGUGGCGCAGUGUUUUUGUAUUGUGCUUGAUGACAGCGCUGAUGCAGAGCAGGCAACAGAUGGCACACAGACAGCAGAGUUGGGGACAGAUAUGCAGGGACAGACUGGCAGAGACAGGG